ACAAACCCAGGAUUCAAAGAGUAGAGAAAUGGCGCUUCAUCUCUCUUCUUCGUUUCCUCACAAUCUUUGCCCUGACAAACUUCUAUCGUACUCAGUCUCUCCUUCACAUACACUCCAACUUGCGCAAUCUCUGUUUUCUUUCCCACCGAAAAGUUUAAACCAUUUCCAUCUUAAACUCAACUCUCUCUCAUUCAAACGAAGGUUUUCUCUAUCUUCACAUCUCUCUCUACAAGACUCAGUUCCUCAAAAAUCUCAAAUCCCAGAUGAUGAAAUCACAUCAUCAACUAAAAACUAUAUCUGGGUUAAUCCAAAAAGUCCCAGAGCUUCAAAGUUUCGGCAACAAUCAUAUGAUACAAGGUACAAUUCUCUAACAAAAGUAGCUGAAUCAGUUGACUCAUCUAACCCCACUGAAAUUGACGUUUCCAUGGUUUUGAACGGACUAGGAGAAAACCUAUUAGAACAAGAUGCUGUUAUUGUUCUUAAUAAUAUGAAAAACCCCGAUACUGCUGUUCUUGCACUGAAGUACUUUUUAAAGAAGUUAAAAUCAAGCAGGGAUGUGAUUUUGUACAAUGUGACUUUGAAAGUGUUUAGAAAAAGUAGGAUACAUGAUGGAGCAGAAAAGGUGUUUGACGAAAUGAUUCAAAGAGGUGUUAAACCAGACAAGAUUACUUUUUCGACUUUGAUUAGUUGUGCUAGAUUGGGUGGUCUUCCAGAUAAGGCUAUAGAGUGGUUUGAGAAGAUGCCACAUUUUGGAUGUGAGCCAGAUGAUGUUAUUAAGUCGGCAAUGAUUGAUGCUUAUGCUCGUUUGGGAAAGAAUGAUACGGCUCUGAGCUUGUAUGAUCAAGCUAAAGGAGAAAAUUGGCGGAUCGAUGUGGCUACUUACUCGACUUUGAUUAAAACGUAUACUGCGUUAGGUGAUUUCCAUGGAGCUUUUAAGGUGUUUGAAGAUAUGAAGGCAGUUGGGAUGAAACCGAACUUGACUGUUUAUAACAUAAUAUUGGAUGUUAUGGGAAAAGCUAAGAGGCCCUGGAUGGUGAAAACUGUUUAUAGAGAGAUGACUAGAAAUGGAAUUGCCCCCAAUUGGCCUACCUAUGCUGCACUUAUAAGGGCUUAUGGUAAAGCUCGUUAUGUGGAAGAUGCCUUAAGUAUUUAUAAAGAGGUGAAGGGAAAAGGUUUGGAGUUGAAUGUCGUUCUUUACAACACGCUCCUAUCGAUGUGUGCAGAUAUUGGUUACACUGAUGAAGCCAUCACAAUUUUUGAAGAUAUGAAGAGGUCAGAAACUUCGCAGCCUGAUAGUUGGACAUACUCAUCUUUGAUUACUAUAUAUUCUUCUAAUGGAAAGGUUUUGGAGGCGGAGAGCAUAUUGGGUGAGAUGUUGGAAGCUGGUUUUGAACCUAAUAUAUUUGUCUUAACAUCACUCAUUCAGUGCUACGGGAAAGCAAAUCAGAUAGAUGAUGUUUUGAAGACAUUUGAUCGACUUCUAGACUUGGGUAUAAUCCCUGAUGAUAGAUUCUGUGGCUGUCUUCUCAGUGUUAUGAAUCAAACUCCAAAAGAAGAACUUGGAAAGUUGGUUGGUUGUAUCGAGAAGGCUAAUCCAAAACUUGGUAAUGUGGUGAAGCUACUGGUAGAGGAAGGAGGUGUAAAUGAGUUUAAGCAGGAAACCGCCGAGCUCAUUGACAGCAUUAGCACAGAUGUAAGAAAGGCCUACUGUAAUGUCUUGAUUGACCUCUGUGUUAAUCUGAAUCAGUUUGACAAGGCGUGUGAGCUAUUAGAAUUGGGACUCUCUCUUGAGAUUUACACUGCUAUCCAAUCUAAGUCUCAAACUCAGUGGGCAUUAAAUUUGAAGAGUCUCUCACUUGGUGCAGCACUUACUGCGUUGCACAUAUGGAUAAGUGACUUGUCCAAAGCACUAGAUAAUGGGGAGGAUCUACCACCACUGCUUGGAAUUAAUACUGGUCAUGGAAAACACAAUUCGGAGGGGUUGGCUAGUGUUUUUGCAGCCCAUCUGAAGGAAUUGAAUACCCCAUUUCAUGAGGCUUCAGAUAAGGUUGGCUGGUUUUUUACCACUAAGGUUGCAGCCGUUUCGUGGUUGGAGCUGAGAAAAUUAUCUGAACAAAAUGCUGCUUAAAGUUUUCUAUGCUUUUGGCGUUUAAAUCUAUAAGGAUGUUUCUCAGUUCUGCCCUACAUGACGAUAAAAUGAUGCUCUUCAUGUCUCCACCAAUCUGUGGAGAAUAUACAUGGGUUGAUGGAACUGGAGACCCAUCAACUACUAUGGAUCUCCAAGAAGCUCACCAUCUAUCACUCUUGUUACCGAUUAGGUGACCUUCAAAAAAUAAAAGUAUAUGGGAGCUUAACUAGAUUAUAAUCCUCCAAAUGUUUUACAUGCAUCUUCUCUAAAUGUUGUUUGGAGAUUACUUAAACUGUUGGUCUUCUUUGUUAUGCCUAGAAUGUUGGCUAACUAAGAUAUAUUUAAAGGAAGAAAGUGUCAUGGGAUGUUGUUAAACACACUGUUUCCCGAUGCCAAUAAGCUCACUAGAAUUUCUUAGCUUAUAGGGCAUUUGCAUUUAUUGGCUUUAACUCUCUUCUAUAAAAUCCUAUUAAGUAUAUGAAGACAUGUUUGCAAACUUCUUACGAAGGGACAAAGCUUCUUAUAGGGAGAUCUGUAUGCAUGUAACUCAAUUAAAGAAAAUGUUUUGUUUGCAAACUUCUUACGAAGGGACAAGGCUUCUACAGUCUCAGCUCUUUUAAUUAAAGA
This is an RNA transcript of Papaver somniferum (opium poppy), 2755 nucleotides long. It is a transcript of the gene named pentatricopeptide repeat-containing protein At4g16390, chloroplastic-like, with no coding region annotated. The record is from RefSeq and is a predicted model, not a curated record. The transcript has 2 exons. NCBI's taxonomy places the organism in Eukaryota, Viridiplantae, Streptophyta, Magnoliopsida, Ranunculales, Papaveraceae.